Long non-coding RNA from Salvelinus fontinalis (brook trout), 1001 nucleotides. RefSeq lists it as uncharacterized. The record is from RefSeq and is a predicted model, not a curated record. NCBI's taxonomy places the organism in Eukaryota, Metazoa, Chordata, Actinopteri, Salmoniformes, Salmonidae. The transcript has 4 exons.
CCAUCCUUUCUCUUAUUUAUAAAGCUCAUGCACAGGAACUUUUGAGUGUGGCCACAAAACAAGGGAGGUGAAGGAGAGGGGAAGGGGGUCUUGCAGGAGGGAAGGCACCACACCUCCAGAAGAUCAGGAGCUUAAACAAAUGAGGCCUAAUUAGUCAGCAGACAUGGAUACGUAUGGAGUGAUUUCAUAACCAAAUGAAAUUCCAGGAAAGGAAGAGGAGAACAGAUUGAAUCUGGGUACCUUGUAAGGAUCGGACGGCGAGUGGGUAAUCUGCCUUUACCAUCGGUCCUAUUUUCCAACGACAGAACAUGCGCCUCUGGUAAGACAAGGGGUGGCUAUCGAUGUAAACAACAGAUGGUGCACGAAAUCUAAGGAAGUCUCGAUGUUUGCUUGCCUGAGCUUGUAGCGGCACAACCGAGGGUGAGAAAAAUAGGCCAGCCAAGAAAAUAAAUACCCUUCAGUGGAAAGGAGAGUUUUGCAAGAGAAGGAGGGUAAAUCUUACCUUGGCAAGAAAAAUAUGAUUGUCGACUUUGGCAAUUGAGUUCUGCACUGAUUGAUUUUUUAUUACCAACAUUCUUACCUGAAUACCUACGUUGAUGUUUAAUUACAUGCUGAAAUGUGUCAUGAUUGAUAGUGAAAUUUUGAUAUUGUUGUAAUAAAUUACCUGACUCUCCUUGAUAUUUCUUUCAGAGUGAAAAAUGAAACAUCACACUUGUAAGUCUUUUUAGUACGCAUUCACCACCACGAGCUUGAAAUUAUAUUGUGAAAUACAUUUAUUAAUGCUAUUGAAAUUGUAAAAUUAUUCCAAUGUCUCGAGUACCAUUUUCUUUAUGAAAUUAAGCACAUUGAUAUAUAUUAAGUCAACUUUGAAUAAGACCGUCAUUUAAAUUGUACAGCCUACAGACUGUUUGAUGUCAGUCUUCAUCGGAAACGACCUGUGCUGGAGGACAUCUGCAAGACGGCGCUGGCAGGCUUAAAAUAUUAAAUUCAUGUAAAAUGAA